RNAcentral lists this ribosomal RNA (253 nucleotides) under uncultured bacterium. RNAcentral describes it as "partial 16S ribosomal RNA". It matches the Rfam family "Bacterial small subunit ribosomal RNA", at positions 524 to 776 of the family's 1533-position model. The record is from RNAcentral.
UACGUAGGGGGCAAGCGUUGUCCGGAAUCAUUGGGCGUAAAGCGCGUGUAGGCGGCUUGGUAAGUCCGCUCUGAAAGCCCGGGGCUCAACCCCGGGAGGCGGGUGGAUACUGUCAAGCUCGAGUCCGGAAGAGGCGAGUGGAAUUCCUGGUGUAGCGGUGAAAUGCGUAGAUAUCUGGAGGAAUACCGGUGGCGAAGGCGGCAUCCUGGACCGACAUUGACGCUGAGGAGCGAAAGCUAGGGGAGCAAACGGG